This 464-nucleotide ribosomal RNA is filed under the name uncultured soil bacterium. RNAcentral describes it as "bacterial SSU rRNA". It matches the Rfam family "Bacterial small subunit ribosomal RNA", at positions 26 to 518 of the family's 1533-position model. The record is from RNAcentral.
AGCCUGAACGCUGGCGGCGUGGCUAAGACAUGCAAGUCGUACGGACCCGCAAGGGUCAGUGGCGCACGGGUGAGUAAUGAAUCGCUAACGUACCCCGGACUCAGGGAUAGCUGUCCGAAAGGGCAGGUAAUACCUGAUGAUAUAACCUUGUCGCAUGACUGGGUUCUCAAAGGUCCGCCGGUCUGGGAGCGGGCGAGUUUCGUAGUCAGCUAGUUGGUGAGGUAACGGCUCACCAAGGCGACGACGCGUAGCCGGACUGAGAGGUUGGCCGGCCACAUUGGGACUGAGACACUGCCCAGACUCCUACGGGGGGCUGCAGUAACGAAUCUUCCGCAAUGCACGAAAGUGUGACGGAGCGACGCCGCGUGUGGGACGAAGUCCUUCGGGAUGUAAACCACUGUCAGGGUUACCAAGUUCUGAGAGCCCAGAGGAAGGCACGGCUAACGUCUGUCGCCAGCAGCCGC